GAUGAACGCUAGCGGCAGGCCUAAUACAUGCAAGUCGGACGGGAUUGGAGAGCUUGCUUUCCAUGAGAGUGGCGCACGGGUGCGUAACACGUAUGUAACCUACCAUUGUCAGGGGGAUAGCCUCUCGAAAGAGAGAUUAACACCGCAUAACAUGAUUGAAUAGCAUUAUUUAAUCAUCAAAUAUUUAUAGGACAAUGAUGGGCAUGCGGGACAUUAGCUAGAUGGUGAGGUAACGGCUCACCAUGGCGACGAUGUCUAGGGGAUCUGAGAGGAU
Molecule: ribosomal RNA, 274 nt
Filed under: uncultured bacterium
Lineage: Bacteria
Description: partial 16S ribosomal RNA
Rfam family: Bacterial small subunit ribosomal RNA
Source: RNAcentral